This 120-nucleotide transfer RNA is filed under the name Limimaricola variabilis. Its description in RNAcentral is "tRNA-Phe". Lineage: Bacteria; Pseudomonadati; Pseudomonadota; Alphaproteobacteria; Rhodobacterales; Paracoccaceae. The record is from RNAcentral.
GCCGUAGCCUUGGGCUUGUGGUGCUUCUACAGGAACGCCCCCUCGCGCGAAACCUGCCGGCCCGAGCCGCAUGGAUUGAAAAUCCUCGUGUCGGUGGUUCGAUUCCGCCCCCGGGCACCA